ACGACGGGGAAGGCGACUGCAGUACUCCCAGCGCAAGGCCUGCUCGCCGGGUCCUGGGAGCUCUCACGGCAGCGCGCGUGGAAGGCGGAGAAGGCCGCGAGUGGUGGGGGCCGCGCCUUCUCAUGUGUUUUUAAAAUCCUAUUUGACAUGGCAAACAAAGGCUUUUAACUCCCUGGAAGGUGAGCAGAAGACUCAGAGUGCGAAAGGUGGAAGGGUCAGUGGCCUGGGGUGAUUGGUACUCCUGAUACCAAAGACAGAGAAGCCACAUCUUGAUCCUGAUGAGAAUAAGGACUUCUCCUUAUCACUAUGUCCUCAACCACUCAUCAGCUCCAUGCCAUGAUGAAGCCUCCAUGGAUUCCUGACCUGAUCACUAUAGUCUGAGUGAGUGUGCAUCUGCUGGACUUAAGGCCCAAGACUUGAGACUCUAGAUCUGGCACUUAAGCUUAGCAAGCAGAGGGAAUGUCUGUAAUAAAUGUUUCAUGAUUAAGUAUGUUUACAGUGCUUAGAAUUGACUUGGAAUUGUUUGUUUUGAAUUGAUUAUGUCUAUUGCAGUGGCCAGAAUUAAAGAUUGUCAUUUUCUUUAUUAAGAACCUGUAGAAGGGCAAGAGUUGUCACUCUGUGGUAGAGGGCUCACCUAGCACGUUUGAGGUACUGGGUUCAAUCCUCAGCACCACAUAAAAAUAAAAUACAAUAAUGGUAUUGUAUCCAAGUACAACUAAAAUUAAAUACUGAAAGACAAAAUAACCUAUAGAGUGAAAUUAUAUUGAGAUAUUUGAGUGAAUAAAGCAUUGAAA
This 794-nucleotide long non-coding RNA is filed under the name Ictidomys tridecemlineatus (thirteen-lined ground squirrel). RNAcentral describes it as "lncRNA (ENSSTOG00000034734.1)". Lineage: Eukaryota; Metazoa; Chordata; Mammalia; Rodentia; Sciuridae. The record is from RNAcentral.